RNA transcript from Prosopis cineraria, 1189 nucleotides. RefSeq lists it as uncharacterized. NCBI's taxonomy places the organism in Eukaryota, Viridiplantae, Streptophyta, Magnoliopsida, Fabales, Fabaceae. The transcript has 3 exons. The record is from RefSeq and is a predicted model, not a curated record.
UUAAAAAGUUAGACUUAAUUAGAAAAUCACAUUCACUUUUUUUUUUUUGGGCUAAUUACAAUACCUGCGAGAUAGUAUUUCCCCUCCUCUAGAAUUAGCGUUUAAAAAAAAAAGUUAGAAAGUAUUAAUAGUUCUGAUGAAUAGACAUUGGUAAGGAUAUGAUAUCAAUUUAAUCCACAUCAAUCAAGAUUCCGUCAGAAAGCUUGCCCAUUUCCAUUUCAAUCACUAUACUUGUCCUCUCUGCUCUCAUUUUCCACCCAUGAAGCUUCUCUUUAAUAGAUUGUUAAAGGAUUAAAAAGAUUGAAACAGUCAAACAGAUCUUUCAAAACAUAACCACUAUUAAAGUGAAGAGCCAAAGAAAAAGGUGGGCUGUUGAGGUGAAUAGAAAGAAAAAGAGAGAACUCCAUAGACACGGGCCCGCAGCAUAUUGCAUUUGUUUACUCCUUUCAAGAGGCAGCAUGAUAAACGCUUUUUGGUCCUCUGAUUACUUUAACAUCAUUUCCCAUUAACGUUUUCUUUCAGUUAGAGCUUUAUUUUAUCUCUCAAUGAAACUCCAAUUAUUGAUUCUAUGCUUCUCUGCUCAAUUGUAUGUCCCUUCUGCUAUAAGAUCCAAUGGGUUGACUCUGUUGUCAUUCUUAAAACACUGCACUUAUGUUCCUGCCUUCAUCAAAAGCUUUUGAGAUCCGGUCCUUCUAAUUUCCUCCCUGUGAAACUUCAAAGAAACAGGUCUGAUAUACUUCCAUUGGUAGCUAGAGAGAUCAGUUUUUAUAAAGGGAAAACAGGCGCAGAAACGCAGAGAAAGGAAAGGAAAGGAAACGUAUGAGAGGGAGAGAGGAAGAAGAGAAGAGAAAGGGAUGGAGUUAGGCUUGGAUCUAGGAGUCUUUGCGACUGUUGUGAGCUCGGCUACACGAUAGGUUUAGGCGAAGGAUCCAGUGGUGGACGGGGAAAAGAGCAAAGCUAGGGGUUUGCUUGUGAUUUGUAAACAACUGUAACCCCUUUCUUUUGAGCAAAUAUAUUGUAAUGUAUUUAGGAUUAGGGUGUCGGUAGGAUAUGAUUAUGUAUGUGUGUGUGAAUAGGUGUGGAUUGUGUGCUUGUGUAUGAAUUUUUGUCUAUUUGUAAACUUGUGGCUAGGAAACUUGGUUAUGGUGUGUGGUUUUGAUGGAUUUACUUAGUAGACUAAGUUUCUAUU